GAUGGGAAUGCUCGGCACAGGAUUGCAUCAGUUGCUCCUUGAAGGAGCAUCACUGCCUUGAAGCUUUCUAGAUGAUCGAUGGUUUCCACCAUUCCGUCGUAGCUAUCUAGCUGAGGAAUCUUGAAAUGAUGAGAUAGGGGCUCUUGCAUGAUCUGAGAGUCAAAAGGCAGGUCGUUGAUGAACCCAUCAUACAAUGCUAGUUCCUGAUAGUAGAUCGCCUUGAUCCGCUGGUCCAAGUCUCGAAGAUGCCAC
Molecule: long non-coding RNA, 252 nt
Filed under: Elaeis guineensis (African oil palm)
Lineage: Eukaryota; Viridiplantae; Streptophyta; Magnoliopsida; Arecales; Arecaceae
Description: long non-coding RNA (EGUI_LNC026791)
Source: RNAcentral